GACGAACGCUGGCGGCGUGCUUAACACAUGCAAGUCGAGCGGUAAGGCCCUUUCGGGGGUACACGAGCGGCGAACGGGUGAGUAACACGUGGGCGACCUGCCCUCAGCUCUGGGAUAAGCCUGGGAAACCGGGUCUAAUACUGGAUAUGACUCCAUGACGCAUGUUGUGGGGUGGAAAGCCUUGUGCGGCUGAGGAUGGGCCCGCGGCCUAUCAGCUUGUUGGUGGGGUGAUGGCCUACCAAGGCGACGACGGGUAGCCGGCCUGAGAGGGCGACCGGCCACACUGGGACUGAGACACGGCCCAGACUCCUACGGGAGGCAGCAGUGGGGAAUCUUGCGCAAUGGGCGAAGGCCUGACGCAGCGACGCCGCGUGAGGGAUGACGGCCU
This 388-nucleotide ribosomal RNA is filed under the name uncultured bacterium. Its description in RNAcentral is "bacterial SSU rRNA". It matches the Rfam family "Bacterial small subunit ribosomal RNA", at positions 28 to 417 of the family's 1533-position model. The record is from RNAcentral.